UGGUAGGGCGUACGGGUUACGAUCCCGUCUCUCCAUCUUGAAAGGAUGGCGACCUCACCAGAAGUCAAACGCCCC
Molecule: transfer RNA, 75 nt
Filed under: Rhodobacter phage RcXuper
Lineage: Duplodnaviria; Heunggongvirae; Uroviricota; Caudoviricetes
Description: tRNA-Glu
Source: RNAcentral